Molecule: ribosomal RNA, 334 nt
Filed under: uncultured Bacillota bacterium
Lineage: Bacteria; Bacillati; Bacillota
Description: bacterial SSU rRNA
Rfam family: Bacterial small subunit ribosomal RNA
Source: RNAcentral
GACGAACGCUGGCGGCGUGCCUAAUACAUGCAAGUCGAGCGAAUCUUUAGGAGUUUACUCCUAUUGGUUAGCGGCGGACGGGUGAGUAACACGUGGGCAACCUGCCUGUAAGACUGGGAUAACACCGGGAAACCGGUGCUAAUACCGGAUAAUCCUUUUCCUCACAUGGGGAAAAGCUGAAAGACGGUUUCGGCUGUCACUUACAGAUGGGGCCCGCGGCGCAUUAGCUAGUUGGUGAGGUAACGGCUCACCAAGGCGACGAUGCGUAGCCGACCUGAGAGGGUGAUCGGCCACACUGGGACUGAGACACGGCCCAGACUCCUACGGGAGGCAG